This 75-nucleotide transfer RNA is filed under the name Xiphosiphonia pinnulata. RNAcentral describes it as "tRNA-Ala". It matches the Rfam family "tRNA". Rfam says of the family: Transfer RNA (tRNA) molecules are approximately 80 nucleotides in length. Their secondary structure includes four short double-helical elements and three loops (D, anti-codon, and T loops). Lineage: Eukaryota; Rhodophyta; Florideophyceae; Ceramiales; Rhodomelaceae. The record is from RNAcentral.
GGGAGUAUAGUUUAAUAUCUGGUAAAACAUAUAAUUUGCAAUUAUAAAUUAUUGGUUCAAGUCCAAUUAGUUCCA